Molecule: ribosomal RNA, 773 nt
Filed under: uncultured bacterium
Lineage: Bacteria
Description: bacterial SSU rRNA
Rfam family: Bacterial small subunit ribosomal RNA
Source: RNAcentral
AGAGUUUGAUCCUGGCUCAGGACGAACGCUGGCGGCGUGCUUAACACAUGCAAGUCGAACGGAAAGGCCCUUCGGGGUACUCGAGUGGCGAACGGGUGAGUAACACGUGGGUGAUCUGCCCUGCACUUUGGGAUAAGCCUGGGAAACUGGGUCUAAUACCGAAUAGGACCACGCGCUUCAUGGCGUGUGGUGGAAAGCUUUUGCGGUGUGGGAUGGGCCCGCGGCCUAUCAGCUUGUUGGUGGGGUAAUGGCCUACCAAGGCGACGACGGGUAGCCGGCCUGAGAGGGUGACCGGCCACACUGGGACUGAGAUACGGCCCAGACUCCUACGGGAGGCAGCAGUGGGGAAUAUUGCACAAUGGGCGCAAGCCUGAUGCAGCGACGCCGCGUGAGGGAUGACGGCCUUCGGGUUGUAAACCUCUUUCAAUAGGGACGAAGCGCAAGUGACGGUACCUAUAGAAGAAGCACCGGCCAACUACGUGCCAGCAGCCGCGGUAAUACGUAGGGUGCGAGCGUUGUCCGGAAUUACUGGGCGUAAAGAGCUCGUAGGUGGUUUGUCGCGUUGUUCGUGAAAACUCACAGCUUAACUGUGGGCGUGCGGGCGAUACGGGCAGACUAGAGUACUGCAGGGGAGACUGGAAUUCCUGGUGUAGCGGUGGAAUGCGCAGAUAUCAGGAGGAACACCGGUGGCGAAGGCGGGUCUCUGGGCAGUAACUGACGCUGAGGAGCGAAAGCGUGGGGAGCGAACAGGAUUAGAUACCCUGGUAGUCCAA